This 253-nucleotide ribosomal RNA is filed under the name uncultured bacterium. RNAcentral's name for it is "partial 16S ribosomal RNA". It matches the Rfam family "Bacterial small subunit ribosomal RNA", at positions 524 to 776 of the family's 1533-position model. The record is from RNAcentral.
UACGUAGGUGGCAAGCGUUGUCCGGAUUUACUGGGCGUAAAGAGCGCGCAGGCGGUCGUUCAAGUCGCGUGUGAAAGCCCCCGGCUCAACUGGGGAGGGUCACGCGAUACUGAUCGACUGGAAGGCAGGAGAGGGUAGUGGAAUUCCCGGUGUAGUGGUGAAAUGCGUAGAUAUCGGGAGGAACACCAGUGGCGAAGGCGGCACUCUGGGCCGGAACUGACGCUGAGGAGCGAAAGCGUGGGGAGCGAACAGG